This is a long non-coding RNA of Zonotrichia leucophrys gambelii, 481 nucleotides long. RefSeq lists it as uncharacterized. The record is from RefSeq and is a predicted model, not a curated record. The transcript is spliced from 3 exons. Lineage: Eukaryota; Metazoa; Chordata; Aves; Passeriformes; Passerellidae.
GGCCCUUCAAUAAAGCGCCGCACAAAACUUAUCCGAGUUUUGUGUCCUUUAUCAUUCGGGCAACAGUUUUCUGGCGACCGCGGCAGGACUCCGAGGGUUGCUGGGGCGGUUCGCGUCUCGAUCCACUCCAAGCCGGCGCCGAGCACUUCUCGGAGGAGUCAUCGGGUCGUGCCCGACCCCCCGCGCCUGUCGGACGACUGCAGAAGAAAUACGUUACAGUGGAAUAAACCGCUCACGCUGGAGAACUCUGUCCACGACAUCCAGCCUGGGGACCAAGUGUACAUCAAGAAGUGGAUUACGGAUCCGCUACGGGAAUCAUGGAGCGGACCCCACCAGGUGAUGAUGACGACCUACACGGCGGUGAAGGUCCAGGGGAUGGACGCUUGGAUCCAUUACACCAGGCCAGAAAGUUGAGGCCAGUGAAGUUAUUGCAAUAUGGCAACGGGGGGCUGAAAGAAGCCGAGGCAAGACAGAAGUCGGU